GAUGAACGCUGGCGGCGUGCCUAAUACAUGCAAGUCGAGCGAACAGACGAGGAGCUUGCUCCUCUGACGUUAGCGGCGGACGGGUGAGUAACACGUGGAUAACCUACCUAUAAGACUGGGAUAACUUCGGGAAACCGGAGCUAAUACCGGAUAAUAUAUUGAACCGCAUGGUUCAAUAGUGAAAGACGGUUUUGCUGUCACUUAUAGAUGGAUCCGCGCCGCAUUAGCUAGUUGGUAAGGUAACGGCUUACCAAGGCAACGAUGCGUAGCCGACCUGAGAGGGGGGUCGGCCACACUGGAGCUGAGACACGGUCCAGACUCCUACGGGAGGCAGCAGUAGGGAAUCUUCCGCAAUGGGCGAAAGCCUGACGGAGCAACGCCGCGUGAGUGAUGAAGGUCUUCGGAUCGUAAAACUCUGUUAUUAGGGAAGAACAAAUGUGUAAGUAACUAUGCACGUCUUGACGGUACCUAAUCAGAAAGCCACGGCUAACUACGUG
Molecule: ribosomal RNA, 497 nt
Filed under: uncultured bacterium
Lineage: Bacteria
Description: partial 16S ribosomal RNA
Rfam family: Bacterial small subunit ribosomal RNA
Source: RNAcentral